CCUUGAACUUUAAACUUAUUUUAAAUUUAAAGAAGUUUAAUUUAUUUUUGUUUUUCUAUAAGAAGUGUUCUUUUGUACAAUUUUAUUUGUUUGCUAUUAUUUGUUUUGUGAUUUUAUUUUUCUAUGACAGGUAGUUGUUUAAGAGCUCUGGUUUAAGAGUUUAAGAGUAUAUAUAUUUUAACCUUGUAUAUAGAAGGAACUAAAAAUGCACUUUGUUGUGGGAUGUAAAAAUUGCACAAGAGUAAAAGGGAAAGUUUCAUUUCACACUUUCCCUAAGAAUGCUGAUCUGCAACAGAGAUGGCUUCAUGUUAUUGGUAGAGAUCCAAAUAUGCGUAUUAUAUACCGUAGAGUUUGAUCAGAACACUUUGUAGAAAGUGAUAUUGAUAAAUCUGGGAAUAAGCUUUUACUAGUUCCAAAUGCAGCACCCAGUAGAAACUUAUCAAUUGUUCCUCCUUUAAACUGUCGCAGUAAGAAAAAUGAAAAUUGUUAUCCACCAAAUAUUAUUAAUGAGAUACUUGUGCCAUAUAUUGGUGGUAGAAAUAAUAAUAUAGUUGAUGAACCUUCAAUUAGUGGACUAAUAACAGAUCAUAUUUAUAGUAAAACAGCUAUAAGAGUUAAUUCUCCAUCUUCUGAAAUCAAAAAAUGUCCACCUAAAGCUUCGCCAUCAGAAAAAAAUAGUAUGAUAAUUGUUGAUCACACUUAUUAUAGUAUACCUAUCAUCUAAGCCUGUGCAGAUUGAGGAUCAGAUAGAUCUGCUAAAGGAAAAAAAAAUAUAUUCUUACAAACUAAAUUGAAAACUCUCAGGAGAACAAUUGUAAGAAAGGACAAGAAAAUUGCUUCAUUGAAGCAAAUUAUUAAUGAACUUAAGAAAGAAAAAAGACAUUUUUGAUUCUGAAUUUAAAAAAUCUAUUUGGAAAAGGAGUUAGGAAGCAAUACUUUCUUGAUGACUGUAUAUAACAGAGGUUUCUCUAAUGUCAAUUAUCUACUACCGUAUAAGUUUAUCAGCAUUAUUUGGUAUUACUUAUUUGAUUUUUAGGAUCAGAGAUAGAGUAACAACAAUCUGAGCUGACUGAUUACUGCACUUUUUUACACUAUUACAUAGGUAUUUCUCAUUUAUGUUGACAAUAAAAAUAUGGGAAAGUGCUUUUCUAAAGACAAUACAGGUGUAAUAAGUGAGAAGAAAAUCUUAAAUUUAAUUAAAAAAAAUUAUACUCUAAAUUAUUUUUCUCAA
This 1231-nucleotide long non-coding RNA is filed under the name Sitophilus oryzae (rice weevil). RNAcentral's name for it is "uncharacterized LOC115876969, transcript variant X3". The record is from RNAcentral. Lineage: Eukaryota; Metazoa; Arthropoda; Insecta; Coleoptera; Curculionidae.